RNAcentral lists this unclassified non-coding RNA (240 nucleotides) under soil metagenome. RNAcentral describes it as "partial contains 5.8S ribosomal RNA, internal transcribed spacer 2, and large subunit ribosomal RNA". The record is from RNAcentral.
AAGACUAUAGACCUGCGGAGUACCUGCGGAAGGAUCAUUAAUGAAGCAUAAGGCUUGGAGGAUGUUGCUGGCCCCUUCUCCUUUUCCAGGAAUGGGGCAGGUGCACUCCUCACAUAGUCCUUUGACUUACCUUUUCACGAAACAAAACUUGUGUGCACCCUGUGUAGGUUUAGCUUUGCAUGCCGAACCUAUGUUUUUAUUCAUUUUGCUCCAUGAAUGUUCAUUUGAAUGUUGAUCUUU